This 461-nucleotide ribosomal RNA is filed under the name uncultured bacterium. RNAcentral describes it as "bacterial SSU rRNA". It matches the Rfam family "Bacterial small subunit ribosomal RNA", at positions 329 to 802 of the family's 1533-position model. The record is from RNAcentral.
AUCGUAACUCCUACGGGAGGCAGCAGUGGGGAAUAUUGCACAAUGGGCGGAAGCCUGAUGCAGCGACGCCGCGUGAGGGAUGACGGCCUUCGGGUUGUAAACCUCUUUCAGCAGGGACGAAGCGUAAGUGACGGUACCUGCAGAAGAAGCACCGGCUAACUAUGUGCCAGCAGCCGCGGUAAUACGUAGGGUGCGAGCGUUGUCCGGAAUUACUGGGCGUAAAGAGCUCGUAGGCGGUUUGUCACGUCGUCUGUGAAAUCCUAGGGCUUAACCCUGGACGUGCAGGCGAUACGGGCUGACUUGAGUACUACAGGGGAGACUGGAAUUUCUGGUGUAGCGGUGGAAUGCACAGAUAUCAGGAAGAACACCGAUGGCGAAGGCAGGUCUCUGGGUAGUAACUGACGCUGAGGAGCGAAAGCAUGGGUAGCGAACAGGAUUAGAAACCCUUGUAGUCCUAGAGC